UCAAGAAACUUCCACAAUGGGCGAAAGCCUGAUGGAGCGACGUCGCGUGAUGGACGAAGUGCUUCGGCACGUAAACAUCUUUUAUGUGGGAUGAAAUUAUUGACAGUACCACAUGAAUAAGGGGCUCCUAACUCUGUGCCAGCAGGAGCGGUAAUACAGAGGCCCCAAGCGUUAUCCGGAAUCACAGGGCGUAAAGGGUGUCGAGGCGGUUGUAUUAGUCGUUCGUAAAAUCUACGAGCUUAACUUGUAGGCGGCGAACGAAACGGUACGACUUGAGGUUUGGAGAGGUGCGUGGAACUCACGGUGUAGGGGUGAAAUCCGUUGAUAUCGUGGGGAACACCAAAGGCGAAGGCAGCGCACUGGCCAAAAUCUGACGCUCACACACGAAAGCUAGGGUAGCGAAGAGGAUUAGAUACCCAAGUAGUCCCUGAGCGGGCUGGCAAGGCGCAU
RNAcentral lists this ribosomal RNA (450 nucleotides) under uncultured bacterium. Its description in RNAcentral is "bacterial SSU rRNA". It matches the Rfam family "Bacterial small subunit ribosomal RNA", at positions 355 to 825 of the family's 1533-position model. The record is from RNAcentral.